ACGUGUCGCGAUGGAUGACUUG
This 22-nucleotide ribosomal RNA is filed under the name Trypanosoma theileri. RNAcentral's name for it is "partial 5.8S ribosomal RNA". The record is from RNAcentral. Lineage: Eukaryota; Euglenozoa; Kinetoplastea; Trypanosomatida; Trypanosomatidae.